This 30-nucleotide non-coding RNA is filed under the name Mus musculus (house mouse). Lineage: Eukaryota; Metazoa; Chordata; Mammalia; Rodentia; Muridae. The record is from RNAcentral.
UGGUCAUGUGUUCUUGGUCCUGCUCAAAGU